RNAcentral lists this ribosomal RNA (245 nucleotides) under uncultured Actinomycetes bacterium. RNAcentral describes it as "uncultured actinobacterium partial 16S ribosomal RNA". It matches the Rfam family "Bacterial small subunit ribosomal RNA", at positions 28 to 276 of the family's 1533-position model. The record is from RNAcentral. Lineage: Bacteria; Bacillati; Actinomycetota; Actinomycetes.
GACGAACGCUGGCGGCGUGCUUAACACAUGCAAGUCGAACGGAAAGGCCCUGCUUUUGUGGGGUGCUCGAGUGGCGAACGGGUGAGUAACACGUGAGUAACCUGCCCUUGACUUUGGGAUAACUUCAGGAAACUGGGGCUAAUACCGGAUAGGAGCUCCUGCUGCAUGGUGGGGUGGAAGUUCGGCGGUUGGGAUGGACUCGCGGCUUAUCAGCUUGUUGGUGGGGUAGUGGCUUACCAAGGCUU